UUAUUGCUAAUGGAUCGAAUGAGCUUCGACCUUGAACGUUGCCACAGUUAGCUGACGGUUAUCAUAACGCUUUCUUUCCAAAUGACAAUUGUGAUUGGUCGAGAAGCUGCAACCAGGACUGUUUCAAAAGACAUAAUCGAACGUUUCGUCCAUUUGGUCGUACGGGCCAGACUUAACGUAACUUAACGGCACCUUGCUACUCAAUGACGCUAGUCAGGCAUAGUUAUGGCUGCGCCCUGUAAUUCCAGAAGUUGGUGACUUAUUAUUGCCGUUUGACAGAUGCUACCACUUAAUAAUUCAUUUUAAUAAAAGGCGAGAAAAUUGUUUACCCUGUGUGACGAUUUGAAAAAAAUAAAAGGAAAAUGGGGACUCGACAAGACGAUGAGUUUGAAGAAUUACAAUCCACAACGUACACAUUUCCUUCCGAUGUUCAAACCGUUAUCGAACAGGUUUUACCAAGUACCGAUCCCUUAGAUCAACCAAACUUCAAUGCUGUGGAUUACAUAAAUUCCUUGUUUCCCACCGAACAAUCAUUAUCCAACAUAGACGAUGUGAUAAGUAAAAUGGAAUAUAAAAUUUGCUCCAUCGAUCAGGAAAUCCGAUCAGUUGUCAGAGGGCAAACUAAUGUCGGGCAGGAUGGCCGUGUUGCAUUGGAAGAUGCUCAUAAAGUAAUCAGACAGUUAUUCAUUCAUAUUAAGGACAUAAAGGAUAAGGCAGAGCAAUCUGAAGAAACUGUUAAGGAAAUUACUCGAGAUAUAAAACAACUGGACUUUGCUAAACGGAAUUUAACAUCAUCUAUCACUGCUUUGAAUCAUUUACACAUGUUGGUCGGAGGUGUAGAUAGUUUGAAAGCUCUAACACAGAAAAAACAAUAUGGGGAAAUAGUGAUGCCUCUUCAAGCGAUUAUGGAAGUUAUGCAACAUUUUAGUAAUUACAUGGAUAUUCCUCAAAUUAAACAGCUUUCUGAUCAGGUGAAACAAAUUCAAGUCGAAUUGGCUGAACAAAUAACUGCUGAUUUUCGAGAAGCAUUUUCUGGCCAGAAUCCCAAACACUUUGCUCAAUUAAGCGAAGGUUGUCUUGUUAUGUCAGUCUUAGAUCCUAGAGUAAAGAAAGAUCUGCUGAGCUGGUUUAUUGCCAUGCAAUUACAAGAGUACUCUCACUUGUUCGAUGAGAAUCAAGAUUCAGCUUGGUUGGAUAAAAUUGACAGACGAUAUGCUUGGAUUAAAAAACACUUAUUAGAAUUUGAGAGCAAGUUUGGUUCAAUAUUUCCCCAAAACUGGGAAGUCUCUGAAAGGAUCGCUGUGCAGUUCUGUCAUAUGACACGAGAAGACUUGAGCAAACUUAUGGAGCGAAGGCGACACGAAAUUGAUGUUAAACUUCUUCUUUACGCGAUACAGAGGACUACAAGUUUUGAGAAUUUAUUAGCCAAAAGGUUUGCCGGACUUACGCUAGAAAAUUCUGAUGCACUUUUUGAAAAAAAACCUAGGAAUCCUUUCGAAGAAAAUGAAGAGGUUAAAAACCCCUUCGAGGAAGGGUAUACCGAGCAAGGGGAGCCAGAAAAGUCUAACACAUCUCUCUUCACUCGUUUAAUUGGAAAGUGUUUUGAACCAUACCUAAAUAUUUAUAUAGAGAGUCUGGAUAGAAAUUUGGCAGACUUGAUGGACAAAUUUUUAAAUGAUUGUAAACUGCAACCUCCUGGAGCAAAAGAGCUUGAUGGUGUUGAGGGGCCGAGUAGUGUCUUAUCUUCAUGUGCAGAUCUUUUUGUGUUUUACAAAAAAUGCAUGAUACAAUGUACGCAACUUAGUACAGGCUUUAUCAUGCUUAAUCUGACUUCCACUUUCCAAAAGUAUCUUCGAGAAUAUGCAUUGAAACUGUUGCAGAAUAAUUUACCAAAAAUUGGCGGUGGCGCUAGUAUUGGGACCAGUAUGAGUAACAUAACACGUGAUCUUCGAGACCUGUCAACGGCCGGUCUUAUACAGAAUUUUCAAAGCUUUCUCAAAGAAGGUGAAUCUACUAGAUUUAAUAAGGAGGAACAAUCUCGGAUUUGCUGUAUCCUGACAACAGCGGAAUAUUGUCUUGAGACAACCCAACAACUAGAAGAAAAGCUAAGAGAAAAGACAGACGCACAGUUUUCCGAGAAGAUUAAUUUAUCACAGGAACAAGAUAUAUUUCACAGUGUUAUAUCCAACUGUAUUCAGCUGUUAGUACAAGAUCUGGAGUCUGCUUGUGAAUCCGCAUUGACUGCAAUGAGCAAGGUACAAUGGAUACACAUUGAAAGUGUGGGAGACCAAAGUGCAUAUGUCAGUACUAUCAUUUCACAUCUUAGGCAGAAUAUUCCUUCUAUUCGAGAAAGAUUAUCAUCUUGUAGAAAAUAUUUUACACAACUUUGUGUUAAAUUCGCAAGUUCAUUCAUUCCAAAAGUAGUGCAGCAGCUGUAUAAAUGUAAGCCUUUGAACACAGUUGGGGCAGAACAGUUGUUACUAGAUGUUCACAUGCUCAAGACAGCACUACUCGAUUUACCAUCAACUGGGUGUCAAAUACAAAGAAAAGCACCCGCAACAUAUACAAAGGUAGUUGUCAAGGGUAUGACCAAAGCUGAGAUGAUAUUGAAGGUGGUAAUGUCUCCUGCAGAAUCUCCGAGUGCUUUUGCGGACCAGUGCAGGAAACUGCUUCCUGAUUUACCAACCGCAGAAUUUCAGAAAAUACUUGAUAUGAAGGGAUUACGACGAACAGAACAAAUGCAAUUAGUGGACCAAUUUAGGCAGAGUGGAAGCAGCUUGUUGUUAGGAGAUACCACGAUCAUUGCUCAAGAUAGUCCAGAGCAUGAGGCUGGACGUAUUAAAAGGUUAGAAAAAUUGAUAAAGAAAAGGAUGUGAAUGAUUGGACUUUUUGGUCGUCAUUUAAAAAUAGUUUUUUACACCGGGUGAGAGGCUGGAAAAUCUCCAGAUACAUGUCAGUUCCCAAUACCGAUAGAAAACUGAAACACUAAUGAAAACAAAGCAUUUGGUGUGCUGGAUACACAGGGAGAGAAUUCCGGGUAACAAGAUUACAAUAUUUACUUCGGUUGCUGAACACGUCACUAUAAAUUAUAUUAUAUUCAUAAGACCUGUACUGUACAAUUAUGUAUAAAUAUCGCAUGUACUGAUACAGCUGAGCGUAUAUAGUAGCAUAGACAAACUACAAAGUAAACUACAUGCGUAUAAUAAAGAAUAUUACUAUCAUUUA
RNAcentral lists this unclassified non-coding RNA (3225 nucleotides) under Neodiprion lecontei (redheaded pine sawfly). Its description in RNAcentral is "vacuolar protein sorting-associated protein 53 homolog, transcript variant X1". The record is from RNAcentral. Lineage: Eukaryota; Metazoa; Arthropoda; Insecta; Hymenoptera; Diprionidae.